RNAcentral lists this unclassified non-coding RNA (186 nucleotides) under uncultured soil eukaryote. Its description in RNAcentral is "sequence contains 5.8S rRNA gene, ITS2, 28S rRNA gene". The record is from RNAcentral.
AACGCAGGCCGCGCCUUGUAACAUCACUCUGUGUUGUUGCAAGGUAUCCACGUAUGAGUGUCAGCCCAAUAUCAUUUCUUGGCUCAAGAAAAUGUUCAUUUUUAAUGAUGAUACAAAUUCUUGAAUACAUAUUUUAUGGAAAUAGAUGUCUGGCCUCAUAUUUGGAAGGUUACCCGCUGGAUUUAA